Molecule: ribosomal RNA, 375 nt
Filed under: uncultured organism
Description: partial 16S ribosomal RNA
Rfam family: Bacterial small subunit ribosomal RNA
Source: RNAcentral
GUAGGUGGCAAGCGUUGUCCGGGAAUUAUUGGGGCGUAAAGCGUGCGCAGGCGGUUCUUUAAGUCUGAUGUGAAAGCCCACGGGCUCAACCGUGGAGGGUCAUUGGAAACUGGAGAACUUGAGUACAGAAGAGGAAAGCGGAAUUCCACGUGUAGCGGUGAAAUGCGUAGAGAUGUGGAGGAACACCAGUGGCGAAGGCGGCUUUCUGGUCUGUAACUGACGCUGAGGCGCGAAAGCGUGGGGAGCAAACAGGAUUAGAUACCCUGGUAGUCCACGCCGUAAACGAUGAGUGCUAAGUGUUAGGGGGUUUCCGCCCCUUAGUGCUGCAGCUAACGCAUUAAGCACUCCGCCUGGGGAGCACGGCCGCAAAGGCUG